This is a long non-coding RNA of Lutra lutra (Eurasian river otter), 621 nucleotides long. RefSeq lists it as uncharacterized. The transcript is spliced from 3 exons. The record is from RefSeq and is a predicted model, not a curated record. NCBI's taxonomy places the organism in Eukaryota, Metazoa, Chordata, Mammalia, Carnivora, Mustelidae.
UGCUAAUGAGAAAAGAUAAUCCUGACCUGAAUUCCCCAACCCCCACCAGGAUCCUAUCCCUCGUGAGGACGAAAUCUAGAGGUGGAGGCGAAGGCAGAAAUGGCUGGUUCUUAGGUCUCCUCCUGUCAAAGCCAGACCUGAUCAUGUUUUUGGAGCAAGAGAAGCAGCUCUGGGAUGUGAAGAGAAAGGAGACUGUAGCUGUCCAUCCAGGUGGGUGGGAAUGGGUGAGGCAGGUGACAGAGGGGAUGUCCAAGUCUUAAGGAGGAAGGUAGACCUUAAGCUGUGGUUCAAGUAGCUCUUCUUGAAUGAAUGUCAGUUGGAGACAUGCCCAGUUUUUUGUCUCUCUCUCUCUUUCUCUCUCUCCCAGAGGGACAUCUGCUCUCCAACAUUAUCAAGCUCUUGCAUUCUCUAGGGAUUCUCCUUCAGCUCCAGUGAUGAUCCAGCAUAUAAUCAUCAUAUAAUUAGAGGGGGAGGCCUCCUUAAUCUCCGUCCAUUGCUAUGGGGACCCUAGGGAAGUCAUCCUAUUUCUGAGGACCUCUACGCUAAAGUCUUUGUAAAUUCUGUUUUUCAUCAUGAGACAAGUAGGUCAGGGGGUUUGGUGCAGAAAUUCCAGAACACUGG